RNAcentral lists this ribosomal RNA (948 nucleotides) under Psoroma paleaceum. RNAcentral's name for it is "eukaryotic LSU rRNA". It matches the Rfam family "Eukaryotic large subunit ribosomal RNA", at positions 1 to 962 of the family's 3401-position model. The record is from RNAcentral. Lineage: Eukaryota; Fungi; Ascomycota; Lecanoromycetes; Peltigerales; Pannariaceae.
GGUUGACCUCGGAUCAGGUAGGGAUACCCGCUGAACUUAAGCAUAUCAAUAAGCGGAGGAAAAGAAACCAACCGGGAUUGCCUCAGUAACGGCGAGUGAAGCGGCAACAGCUCAAAUUUGAAAUCUGGCUCCGUGCGGGGUCCGAGUUGUAAUUUGUAGAGGGUGUUUCGGGUGCGGUGCCGGUCUAAGUUCCUUGGAACAGGACGUCAUAGAGGGUGAGAAUCCCGUCUGCGAGUCGGCCACCAACCCCGGGUGAAACCCCUUCGACGAGUCGAGUUGUUUGGGAAUGCAGCUCAAAAUGGGUGGUAAAUUUCAUCUAAAGCUAAAUACCGGCCAGAGACCGAUAGCGCACAAGUAGAGUGAUCGAAAGAUGAAAAGCACUUUGGAAAGAGAGUUAAAAAGUACGUGAAAUUGUUGAAAGGGAAGCGCUUGCGACCAGACCUGUUCCCGGGCGAUCAUCCGCCAUUCGUGGCGGUGCACUCGCCCGGACGCAGGCCAGCAUCGGUUUGGGCGGCGGGACAAAGGGCUCGGGAAUGUAGCUCCCUCCGGGGAGCCUUAUAGCCCGGGUCGCCAUGCCGCCCGCCUGGACCGAGGACCGCGCUUCGGCUAGGAUGCUGGCGUAAUGGUCGUAAGCGACCCGUCUUGAAACACGGACCAAGGAGUCUACCAUUCAUGCGAGUGUUUGGGUGUCAAACCCAGGCGCGGAAUGAAAGUGAACGGAGGUGAGACCCCGCAAGGGCGCAUCAUCGACCGAUCCAGAUGUCUUCGGAUGGAUUUGAGUACGAGCAUGACUGGUGGGACCCGAAAGAUGAUGAACUAUGCCUGAAUAGGGUGAAGCCAGAGGAAACUCUGGUGGAGGCUCGCAGCGGUUCUGACGUGCAAAUCGAUCGUCGAAUUUGGGUAUAGGGGCGAAAGACCAAUCGAAUCAUCUAGUAGCUGGUUUACGUC